This 429-nucleotide ribosomal RNA is filed under the name Chloroflexota bacterium. Its description in RNAcentral is "Chloroflexi bacterium partial 16S ribosomal RNA". It matches the Rfam family "Bacterial small subunit ribosomal RNA", at positions 355 to 776 of the family's 1533-position model. Lineage: Bacteria; Bacillati; Chloroflexota. The record is from RNAcentral.
UGGGGAAUAUUGCACAAUGGGCGCAAGCCUGAUGCAGCCAUGCCGCGUGUGUGAAGAAGGCCUUCGGGUUGUAAAGCACUUUCAGCGGGGAGGAAGGCGAUAAGGUUAAUAACCUUGUCGAUUGACGUUACCCGCAGAAGAAGCACCGGCUAACUCCGUGCCAGCAGCCGCGGUAAUACGGAGGGUGCAAGCGUUAAUCGGAAUUACUGGGCGUAAAGCGCACGCAGGCGGUCUGUCAAGUCGGAUGUGAAGUCCCCGGGCUUAACCUGGGAACUGCAUUCGAAACUGGCAGGCUAGAGUCUUGUAGAGGGGGGUAGCAUUCCAGGUGUAGCGGUGAAAUGCGUAGAGAUCUGGAGGAAUACCGGUGGCGAAGGCGGCCCCCUGGACAAAGACUGACGCUCAGGUGCGAAAGCGUGGGGAGCAAACAGG